Molecule: ribosomal RNA, 233 nt
Filed under: uncultured bacterium
Lineage: Bacteria
Description: partial 16S ribosomal RNA
Rfam family: Bacterial small subunit ribosomal RNA
Source: RNAcentral
GACAUGGCUCAGGAUGAACGCUAGCGGCAGGCUUAACACAUGCAAGUCGAGGGGCAGCAUAAUGGAUAGCAAUAUCUAUGGUGGCGACCGGCGCACGGGUGCGUAACGCGUAUGCAACCUACCUUUAACAGGGGGGAUAACACUGAGAAAUUGGUACUAAUACCCCAUAACAUCAUGAGAGGCAUCUUUUAUGGUUGAAAAAUUCCGAUGGUUAGAGAUGGGCAUGCGUUGUA